This is a long non-coding RNA of Talpa occidentalis (Iberian mole), 1030 nucleotides long. RefSeq lists it as uncharacterized. The transcript has 3 exons. NCBI's taxonomy places the organism in Eukaryota, Metazoa, Chordata, Mammalia, Eulipotyphla, Talpidae. The record is from RefSeq and is a predicted model, not a curated record.
AAGAGCUGCGUUACCCCGCUCGCGCUGGCACUGCUGUAAACGAACAAGGGCAUGACACUUGCCCAGGGAUUCAUGCUCUCAUUGAGCACAUGGAGCACUCCCGGAGUCAAGAUCGCGCCCUGAACCACGUGAAAGGAAAUGAUAAGGAAAAAAAAAGACGCACACUGGAUGAGAGCCUGCGGGAAGGCGCCUGAGCUGCCGAGCCAUCCCAGUGAAUUCAUGGAUUCACAGCAGGAUGGGUGUGAAAAAUAAAUACAUCUGAAGGCAACAGAUCUACUGCAUGAGCUACAAAGAACACAAAAAUAACCAGAGGAAAAGAAUCUUUUAUUAUUAUUUUAUUAUUUCCUGGUGUUGACACAGCUGGCUAAAUAAACUAAUUUUGCUCACUUACAAAUAUAAAAUAAAUGGCCAAUGUAGCAUACAAAGAAGCCACCAUCACAACUGAAGUGAUAAUACAUUCUGAACAAUUUCCAUGGCUUUUCCCCUUUGAAAAACCUGAAGGCAAAGAAAAAUGUAACGCAGUCAACAGCCAAAUGUAAGUGGAGUUUCAGACAACAGAGCCUGAAGAAUCUUGACGUGCUCAGUGAUGCUCCGGGCGCUGGUGGGCUCCCUGCUAGAGAUCCCAGGGAACAGCUGGAGAGCCUGGGGAACAGCUCCGCCUGUGGGCCACAGUCCUUCAACGUGGGGGAACGCUCCACCCACCUGGAGUUAGCAUCAGCAGCCACAAGUUAAGGGAUGUCUCACGUGACUCCUCCCACUUCAGGCACCGUCACCAGGACUUGUGACCUACUGGCUAUAAAUUCAGAGGAUUCACCUCAAGUCCUACCAUUUGCGAGAACAACUCACAGAACUCAGGAAAGCACUCUGAUUCAAAUUUAUCAUCAAGUGACCUACAGAAUCAAUGAAAUUUCAAAUCCUAAUCGGCCUAUCUAUUUCAUAGAUCUUAAGCAAAUUUUAAAAUAAAGCAUAAAGAAUAAAGAUGCAGACAAGCCAGGAAAUUUGUGAAGAUGACCACAAGAGAACUUAUGUA